UUAUGCUGCCCAAGGCCAUGGGGGGGCAUGGGAUUCCGUGACAUGAGGGCUUUUAAUCAGGCUCUGCUGGCCAAGCAAGCCUGGCGCCUACUGGAUAGCCCAGCUAGCUUAUGUGCAAGGUUAUUGAAGGCUAAAUAUUAUCCGAGGGGAAAUUUGCUUGACACUGUGUUUUCAUCAAACUCUUCGGCGGUGUGGAAAGGUAUUGUUCAUGGGCUUGAGCUGGUGAAGAAAGGCAUUAUAUAG
Molecule: ribosomal RNA, 243 nt
Filed under: Triticum aestivum (bread wheat)
Lineage: Eukaryota; Viridiplantae; Streptophyta; Magnoliopsida; Poales; Poaceae
Description: partial small subunit ribosomal RNA
Source: RNAcentral